RNAcentral lists this ribosomal RNA (447 nucleotides) under uncultured bacterium. RNAcentral describes it as "partial 16S ribosomal RNA". It matches the Rfam family "Bacterial small subunit ribosomal RNA", at positions 28 to 523 of the family's 1533-position model. The record is from RNAcentral.
GACGAACGCUGGCGGCGUGCUUAACACAUGCAAGUCGAACGCCCCGCAAGGGGAGUGGCAGACGGGUGAGUAACACGUGGGAACGUACCCUUUGGUUCGGAAUAACUUGGGGAAACUCAAGCUAAUACCGGAUAAGCCCUUAUGGGGAAAGGUUUACUGCCGAAGGAUCGGCCCGCGUCUGAUUAGCUAGUUGGUGAGGUAACGGCUCACCAAGGCGACGAUCGGUAGCUGGUCUGAGAGGAUGAUCAGCCACACUGGGACUGAGACACGGCCCAGACUCCUACGGGAGGCAGCAGUGGGGAAUAUUGGACAAUGGGGGCAACCCUGAUCCAGCCAUGCCGCGUGAGUGAUGAAGGCCUUAGGGUUGUAAAGCUCUUUUACCCGGGACGAUAAUGACUGUACCGGGAGAAUAAGCCCCGGCUAACUUCGUGCCAGCCGCCGCGGUAA